CCCGCUGUCCUGGGCAUCACCUUCGGCGCCUUCCUCAUCGGGGCCCUGCUCACCGCCGCGCUCUGGUACAUCCACUCGCACACGCGUCACCCCGGCAAGCGGGAGCCCGUGGUGGCGGUGGCUGCCCCGGCCUCCUCGGAGAGCAGUAGCACCAACCACAGCAUCGGGAGCACGCAGAGCACGCCCUGCUCCACCAGCAGCAUGGCGUAGCGCCCAGCCUGGAGCCCUGGGGGCCACCCCACCAGCCCUGGCCCAGCAGGAGAGACUGAGCAGCCGCCAGCUGGGAACCACUGGCCAUGAACUUAUCCCAGGACCCCAACCCCUCCAUUCGGCCAAGGACGGACCAUGCCCUCUGCGCCCUCCCCUCCUGCCUCCCUCUCAGAGGCCUGCUGCCAGGGAGGGCACCAGCUUGGAACAGCUUGGGGUCCCCCCACCCCACCCCACCGAACCGUCAAACCCAGUGGGCUUGGGGUACAGCUGCCCGGGACCACGGAGAAAGAGACCACUUCCCCACAUGUCCACGCUGUCGUAGCAACCCAAGGGGCUGUGAUUUAACCUGGAUUCAGCACUCACUGACCUGGGCUGGGUGGGAGUUGAAAACUCCCAGACGGACUCAGCCCAGCCCGCCCAGGCUGACAGGCACCUCCUCCACGAGAACAGAAGAGGUCCGGCCCAGAGCCACCUGGACCUGCUCCCAGCGGCCUCCCCAUCUGGACUGGCACAACUUCCAAGGGGAAACUGAAGUUUAGGGGCUCCCAGCCUGGGAGUGGGGGAGCCUAGCUCCUCCCUGUAACCGCCACACAGAGACACCCCCCCGCCUCUGCCCCCAGGCAGCCAGGCUGCCUGACCUGGGCCCACCCCUGUAUACUCACCACCAAUAAACCAGACCAUGAAACCAAUGCUGGGCUGGGCAAGGAGGGGGGGGACCUAAACUGGUGUGAGCGUUCUGGGUUCAAAUCCUGGACCUGCCACUUAGCAGCUGUGACUGUGGGCAGGUCUCAGGGCUUCUUGAAGCCAGCCACGGUCCCCUCACCUGUAAAAUGGAUGAGAAUUCUCGGUCUCGCAAGGAGGCCUGCAGAGCGGCCCCUGGUGUGUGGUCAGUGAACACUGACUCAUUUCUCUCGUUUCACAGAGAGGCCCC
RNAcentral lists this long non-coding RNA (1141 nucleotides) under Sus scrofa (pig). RNAcentral describes it as "lncRNA (ENSSSCG00035058478.1)". The record is from RNAcentral. Lineage: Eukaryota; Metazoa; Chordata; Mammalia; Artiodactyla; Suidae.